Molecule: long non-coding RNA, 728 nt
Organism: Empidonax traillii (willow flycatcher)
Lineage: Eukaryota; Metazoa; Chordata; Aves; Passeriformes; Tyrannidae
Exons: 4
Source: RefSeq, a predicted model, not a curated record
UGUGUAAAACAGGUAAAUAAUACUUUUUGUUACUGCUAAUCUGUUCAAAUACUGUGAGAGUACGUCACACCACCUUAGUGAAGAGUCCUUCAUUUUUCAUAGAUAUCAAAGUCCAGGGUAGAAAGCAGAGCACAGAUAUGCACAACAGUCUUGGUCAGCAGAGUUUCAGGAUUUGGAGAAUCCCUUCUCUUCAAGGGAAGCACCAUCUCAUAAGUACAGACCCAUUGAGCAGGACUCAGCCUCCUGAGGAGCAAUCCCUCGCUGGAAAGGGUGAUCGUUCAGGCAGGUCUGGCAGAGUGGAGGCUCAAGCUCCGAAUCUCCUGGAGGUAAAUGCAUCACAGUGGACCCUGGGUAUUUGAGGCUGAAGAUGCUUCUGUGACUUCCUACCAGAGCUUAUCUAGUAAUUGCCUACAAAGUAUGAGCAUGCCUGCACUGAAUAUCUGGAAUGAGAAGACAUCAUUGAAAAGACCUUCACAAACUUGUUCCUAAGUUUUCAAGAGGUGCAAGGAGACCUCUUGGACCAUGAGCCUUGGUUGUGUACAUUGUUUGCCAUGAGACCAAUUGCCUGGGGCAUCAAGUUCUAGAAACUUCCAUUGUCUCUUACUACAAAGGGCUGUCAUUGUCUCUUCUGCUCAGUCAUAAAUGUGUCUCGCACAUGUGGAAGGGUUGUCUACAGUCUCUAGUCGUAUGGCAAUAAAAUUAUCUUCAGAUGGGAACUGUCCAUACUC